GCCUCUAUGGCCUAAUGGACAAGGCAUCGGCCUCCUAAGUCGGGGAUUGUGGGUUUGAGUCCAAUCAGAGGUG
RNAcentral lists this transfer RNA (73 nucleotides) under Clytia hemisphaerica. RNAcentral's name for it is "tRNA-Arg for anticodon CCU". It matches the Rfam family "tRNA". From Rfam's summary of the family: Transfer RNA (tRNA) molecules are approximately 80 nucleotides in length. Their secondary structure includes four short double-helical elements and three loops (D, anti-codon, and T loops). Lineage: Eukaryota; Metazoa; Cnidaria; Hydrozoa; Leptothecata; Clytiidae. The record is from Rfam by way of RNAcentral.